GUUUGUGUGUUAGUAGAUUUUACCUUUGAGAAAAGGGUUUUCGGAGUGGUGCCCUAAGGCACACAAAUAAGGUUUGAUGGAUCGUGUUGAUUUUACCUUGAACAAGGGUUUAUGAAAAAGAAUGUUUGUGAUUAGAUUACACUAAAGUCUAUGGGCGGAGGUGAAAAAUUCAGACAACAAGGCAAGCGUCUUGCGUCCAAAAUAAUCAGAGUAAGGGUAUGAAUGUUCCAUUCUUAGUCAUUCUCCACCACUUAA
RNAcentral lists this long non-coding RNA (255 nucleotides) under Lathyrus oleraceus (garden pea). RNAcentral's name for it is "Pisum sativum (pea) long non-coding RNA (PSAT_LNC013488)". Lineage: Eukaryota; Viridiplantae; Streptophyta; Magnoliopsida; Fabales; Fabaceae. The record is from RNAcentral.